CACUUGCUUCCUUUUGAGAUGACGAGCAAAAUGUCACUUUUAGUGUGCUUGUUCUUGGUGGUAGUUCAAACCAAAGCUGAAUUACAAUGGAUGUUUGGCCAAUUCUUCGGUUCAAGAGGUUGGCUGGUGGCUGAAAUGGUUUGUUCCCUGGUUUCAUUGGAUGUUAGGGUUAUCAGAAACCACAAUAAAAAACUUGGUCUCGUCAUCCUUGGUGGCAGUUCUACAAACAGCUAAAAUUGCAUCGUGGAUCUUCAGUAGAUUCCAAGAUUGAGUGGGUGGACUUGGAUGUGGAAUGCUUGCAAAUCUACCACUGGAGUUCAUCUAAGUUGGUAAUUUAUCAUUUUCAAUUUAAAGUGAAAUUUUUCGGAAAGUGAUGAUACAUGGGUGGUUCGCUAAAUUUGUAAUGAUAUUAAUGAUUAAAAUAACUCCUCGCAGUCUGAUGUGGACCUGCUGAUUGGUUCGACGGUUUGCUUAGGUAUAAGACAUUAAUUUUUUUUCUAUUUUGUCCAGAUGGCUUCUGCUCGUUGUUCCUUCCUAUUCUGUAUCAAGGUGCUUCAGUUACAGAUUCAAUUUCGGUGGAUCGUAUCAUGGGUCUUUAUCCACUUCGUUGCUUUGAUGAGGUGCAGACACCUGGUUAACUUGAAAAAAUUACUUGGGUCAAAUCUCUUACGUUAACUCUCCUUUUCAGCUAAUGUUGUCUGAUAAAAUUGUUUUGGUAGUUGGGCCGGUUGAUGUUUGCCCAUCUCCGCAGGACGUCAUGCCAAGGGAAUACAUGCUCAAGAAACGUGAGCUGGACCUUUCCUGGGCAACGGACACAAAGAGCCAACGCGGACGAGUACCAUCAGCAAACAAUUCACGAAAUGUGAAGAACUUUCUUCGUUCGUGUUGGGUUUUGGUCGAUCUACCAGCUGCGAAACAUCUUUACAAUGUGUUAAAGACAGAAGAUAGUUUUGGUAGUUUUACAUAAAAAAAAUAUAUAAUCGACUCAUUUAAAGAAAAUUAUAUAAAACGAUUUAACGAUUAAGUUAUGCUACAUUGUUUCACUAAGUAAUCGGAGUUAUAGCGGUUACAGUUAUUAAAAUUCCGAUUGUUUCAAAAAUAGCUUGUUCGAUAAAACAUUCCUUUUUCGAAGUCAGUGUUAGAUUUUAAACAUUACAUGGUUUUCACCGAUUUAUAAGAGAUAUUUUUCUACUGAUUCACAAAUUUGGUAGGGUGUAUAGCUUUCCCACUUUCAUUUUUAUUUUUUACUAAAUUUUUAGUCAAGCAUCGUAUUUAUGAUAAGGCUUCAUUCAGCAUUUUUUUUUUAUUUCGAAAAUAAUUUUGAUUAAGGAUUACUAUGACAAAAGGUAUAAGGUUGAUAUUUACUUGAAAAAUAUUUCCUUUUCUCAAAAACUAGAUGAGGAAAAUUAUGUAAAAUUGAGAAAUUCAAUGAUUUGUUAUAGAUGAAUCUUUCUCCUCCAUGUAUUACACUGUACUUUUUUAAAAUCCGAAAACCAUAUAUCAGAUGAACUGCUUUCGAGGUUGCAAUGAAAAAACAGUGAAAAUUAUUAGAUAAUAAUAUUCAAUUAUAUCCUUGCAGGUGAAGUGGUUAAAAUGGUCAUUGUGCUUGCAUAUCCAUGUGUUGUAUUGUACUCCUUUUCCCUUUAGUUAAAAACCAUGUCAGCCGACUUCCCUUUCUGGUUGCAAUGAAGAAAAAUUUUGAGAGUAAAAAUUAUUAAAUGGAGAAAUCAUUUUCUAUGUUCCUUUUGAAAUAUGUAACAUUUCUUUAUUCUUUACAGGUGAAGAGGUUAAUAAGUUCAUCAAGUUUCCACUUCCGUGUACUGUACUCAUUUAAUCCUUAAACCAUAUGUCUUUACUCUCCUGGUUGUCGAAAAUUAUUAAAAGAGCUUUUUGAUGUUCGUGAUGUGACCUGAGAGGUUUGUGAAGAAGAGUUACAUCUAAGUAACAGCCUGUUGUUCAUGUCUAACAGCAGGAACGGUCGCCGGAGCCUUUUGCGCGCAGAGCAUUGGUGGACUAGGCACUCUAAAGCGAAAUGACGCUAAAGACUUUUCGUUUUGCUUGUAUGGCAUUAAUGAGCAUCACACCGACAGCUCCUAUGGUUAAGGAAAUUACUAACGCCUCAAAGGCAACCAUGCACUUCUUAUGGGUGAAUUUAUUUGUUUAUCACGUAAGCAAUAUAAUCAAAUACUUUUAUGCUUACAAGGUUUUAUUUUUUAAAAUCUAGAUGUAUAAUCAAAUUGGAUUUGAAAGGAUUCUAGUUAAAAAUAUAUACCGAAAGAACUA
This 2283-nucleotide long non-coding RNA is filed under the name Daphnia magna. RNAcentral describes it as "uncharacterized LOC116928266, transcript variant X5". Lineage: Eukaryota; Metazoa; Arthropoda; Branchiopoda; Diplostraca; Daphniidae. The record is from RNAcentral.